CCUACGGGAGGCAGCAGUGAGGAAUAUUGCGCAAUGGGCGAAAGCCUGACGCAGCGACGCCGCGUGAGGGAUGAUGGUCUUCGGAUCGUAAACCUCUGUCAGCAGGGAAGAACGGUCACUGUGCUAAUCAGCAGUGAAUUGACGGUACAUGCAAAGGCAGCACAGGCUAACACAGUGCCAGCAGCCGCGUUAGUACGGCGGGUGCGAGCGUUAAUGGGAAUUACUGGGCGUAAAGCUCUCGUUGGCGGUAGGUCAAGUCGAGGGUGAAAUCCCCGCGCGAAACGUGGGAACUGCCUUUGAGACUGGCAAGCUGGAAUGUGUGAGAUGAGGGUGGAAUUCCAGGUGUAGGAGUGAAAUGCGUAGAUAUCUGGAAGAACAUCGGUUGCGAAGGCGACUAUCGGGCACAUGACUGACGCUGAGGAGCGAAAGCGUGGGUAGCAAACAGGAUUAGAUACCCCUGUAGUC
RNAcentral lists this ribosomal RNA (465 nucleotides) under uncultured bacterium. RNAcentral describes it as "partial 16S ribosomal RNA". It matches the Rfam family "Bacterial small subunit ribosomal RNA", at positions 338 to 795 of the family's 1533-position model. The record is from RNAcentral.